ACUGAUUUCAACAAUGAAGCGAGUGGCGAACUGGUGAGUAACACGUGGGAAAUCUGCCCAGAAGCAGGGGAUAACACUUGGAAACAGGUGCUAAUACCGUAUAACAACAAAAUCCGCAUGGAUUUUGUUUGAAAGGUGGCUUCGGCUAUCACUUCUGGAUGAUCCCGCGGCGUAUUAGUUAGUUGGUGAGGUAAAGGCCCACCAAGACGAUGAUACGUAGCCGACCUGAGAGGGUAAUCGGCCACAUUGGGACUGAGACACGGCCCAAACUCCUACGGGAGGCAGCAGUAGGGAAUCUUCCACAAUGGACGAAAGUCUGAUGGAGCAAUGCCGCGUGAGUGAAGAAGGGUUUCGGCUCGUAAAACUCUGUUGUUAAAGAAGAACACCUUUGAGAGUAACUGUUCAAGGGUUGACGGUAUUUAACCAGAAAGCCACGGCUAACUACGUGCCAGCAGCCGCGGUAAUACGUAGGUGGCAAGCGUUGUCCGGAUUUAUUGGGCGUAAAGCGAGCGCAGGCGGUUUUUUAAGUCUGAUGUGAAAGCCUUCGGCUUAACCGGAGAAGUGCAUCGGAAACUGGGAGACUUGAGUGCAGAAGAGGACAGUGGAACUCCAUGUGUAGCGGUGGAAUGCGUAGAUAUAUGGAAGAACACCAGUGGCGAAGGCGGCUGUCUAGUCUGUAACUGACGCUGAGGCUCGAAAGCAUGGGUAGCGAACAGGAUUAGAUACCCUGGUAGUCCAUGCCGUAAACGAUGAGUGCUAAGUGUUGGAGGGUUUCCGCCCUUCAGUGCUGCAGCUAACGCAUUAAGCACUCCGCCUGGGGAGUACGACCGCAAGGUUGAAACUCAAAGGAAUUGACGGGGGCCCGCACAAGCGGUGGAGCAUGUGGUUUAAUUCGAAGCUACGCGAAGAACCUUACCAGGUCUUGACAUCUUCUGCCAAUCUUAGAGAUAAGACGUUCCCUUCGGGGACAGAAUGACAGGUGGUGCAUGGUUGUCGUCAG
This 1000-nucleotide ribosomal RNA is filed under the name Levilactobacillus brevis. RNAcentral describes it as "bacterial SSU rRNA". It matches the Rfam family "Bacterial small subunit ribosomal RNA", at positions 66 to 1058 of the family's 1533-position model. The record is from RNAcentral. Lineage: Bacteria; Bacillati; Bacillota; Bacilli; Lactobacillales; Lactobacillaceae.